ACGGGAGGCAGCAGUGGGGGAUAUUGCACAAUGGGGGAAACCCUGAUGCAGCGACGCCGCGUGAGUGAUGAAGUGUUUCGGUAUGUAAAGAUCUAUCAGCAGGGAAGAAAAUGACGGUACCUGACUAAGAAGCACCGGCUAAAUACGUGCCAGCAGCCGCGGUAAUACGUAUGGUGCAAGCGUUAUCCGGAUUUACUGGGUGUAAAGGGAGCGGAGACGGAAUGGCAAGCCAGAUGUGAAAGGCUGGGGCUCCACCCCGGGACUGCAUUUGGAACUGUCAAGCUAGAGUAUCGGAGAGGUAAGUGGAAUUCCUAGUGUAGCGGUGAAAUGCGUAGAUAUUAGGAGGAACACCAGUGGCGAAGGCGGCUUACUGGACGAUAACUGACGUUGAGGCUCGAAAGCGUGGGGAGCAAACAGGAUUAGAUACCCUGGUA
This 434-nucleotide ribosomal RNA is filed under the name uncultured bacterium. Its description in RNAcentral is "partial 16S ribosomal RNA". It matches the Rfam family "Bacterial small subunit ribosomal RNA", at positions 341 to 792 of the family's 1533-position model. The record is from RNAcentral.